AUGCACAUAUUGUGAGCUCGAUGAGUAGGGCGGGACACGUGGUAUCCUGUCUGAAUAUGGGGGGACCAUCCUCCAAGGCUAAAUACUCCUGACUGACCGAUAGUGAACCAGUACCGUGAGGGAAAGGCGAAAAGAACCCCGGCGAGGGGAGUGAAAAAGAACCUGAAACCGUGUACGUACAAGCAGUGGGAGCCUCUUUUAUGGGGUGACUGCGUACCUUUUGUAUAAUGGGUCAGCGACUUAUAUUCUGUAGCAAGGUUAACCGAAUAGGGGAGCCGAAGGGAAACCGAGUCUUAACUGGGCGUUAAGUUGCAGGGUAUAGACCCGAAACCCGGUGAUCUAGCCAUGGGCAGGUUGAAGGUUGGGUAACACUAACUGGAGGACCGAACCGACUAAUGUUGAAAAAUUAGCGGAUGACUUGUGGCUGGGGGUGAAAGGCCAAUCAAACCGGGAGAUAGCUGGUUCUCCCCGAAAGCUAUUUAGGUAGCGCCUCGUGAAUUCAUCUCCGGGGGUAGAGCACUGUUUCGGCAAGGGGGUCAUCCCGACUUACCAACCCGAUGCAAACUGCGAAUACCGGAGAAUGUUAUCACGGGAGACACACGGCGGGUGCUAACGUCCGUCGUGAAGAGGGAAACAACCCAGACCGCCAGCUAAGGUCCCAAAGUCAUGGUUAAGUGGGAAACGAUGUGGGAAGGCCCAGACAGCCAGGAUGUUGGCUUAGAAGCAGCCAUCAUUUAAAGAAAGCGUAAUAGCUCACUGGUCGAGUCGGCCUGCGCGGAAGAUGUAACGGGGCUAAACCAUGCACCGAAGCUGCGGCAGCGACGCUUAUGCGUUGUUGGGUAGGGGAGCGUUCUGUAAGCCUGUGAAGGUGUGCUGUGAGGCAUGCUGGAGGUAUCAGAAGUGCGAAUGCUGACAUAAGUAACGAUAAAGCGGGUGAAAAGCCCGCUCGCCGGAAGACCAAGGGUUCCUGUCCAACGUUAAUCGGGGCAGGGUGAGUCGACCCCUAAGGCGAGGCCGAAAGGCGUAGUCGAUGGGAAACAGGUUAAUAUUCCUGUACUUGGUGUUACUGCGAAGGGGGGACGGAGAAGGCUAUGUUGGCCGGGCGACGGUUGUCCCGGUUUAAGCGUGUAGGCUGGUUUUCCAGGCAAAUCCGGAAAAUCAAGGCUGAGGCGUGAUGACGAGGCACUACGGUGCUGAAGCAACAAAUGCCCUGCUUCCAGGAAAAGCCUCUAAGCAUCAGGUAACAUCAAAUCGUACCCCAAACCGACACAGGUGGUCAGGUAGAGAAUACCAAGGCGCUUGAGAGAACUCGGGUGAAGGAACUAGGCAAAAUGGUGCCGUAACUUCGGGAGAAGGCACGCUGAUAUGUAGGUGAAGUCCCUCGCGGAUGGAGCUGAAAUCAGUCGAAGAUACCAGCUGGCUGCAACUGUUUAUUAAAAACACAGCACUGUGCAAACACGAAAGUGGACGUAUACGGUGUGACGCCUGCCCGGUGCCGGAAGGUUAAUUGAUGGGGUCAGCGCAAGCGAAGCUCUUGAUCGAAGCCCCGGUAAACGGCGGCCGUAACUAUAACGGUCCUAAGGUAGCGAAAUUCCUUGUCGGGUAAGUUCCGACCUGCACGAAUGGCGUAAUGAUGGCCAGGCUGUCUCCACCCGAGACUCAGUGAAAUUGAACUCGCUGUGAAGAUGCAGUGUACCCGCGGCAAGACGGAAAGACCCCGUGAACCUUUACUAUAGCUUGACACUGAACAUUGAGCCUUGAUGUGUAGGAUAGGUGGGAGGCUUUGAAGUGUGGACGCCAGUCUGCAUGGAGCCGACCUUGAAAUACCACCCUUUAAUGUUUGAUGUUCUAACGUUGACCCGUAAUCCGGGUUGCGGACAGUGUCUGGUGGGUAGUUUGACUGGGGCGGUCUCCUCCUAAAGAGUAACGGAGGAGCACGAAGGUUGGCU
Molecule: ribosomal RNA, 1949 nt
Filed under: Escherichia coli
Lineage: Bacteria; Pseudomonadati; Pseudomonadota; Gammaproteobacteria; Enterobacterales; Enterobacteriaceae
Description: partial 23S ribosomal RNA
Rfam family: Bacterial large subunit ribosomal RNA
Source: RNAcentral